GACGAACGCUGGCGGCGUGCCUAAUACAUGCAAGUGGGACGCAAGGGAACACACUGUGCUUGCACACCGUGUUUUCUUGAGUCGCGAACGGGUGAGUAACGCGUAGGUAACCUGCCUAUUAGCGGGGGAUAACUAUUGGAAACGAUAGCUAAUACCGCAUAAUAUUAAUUAUUGCAUGAUAAUUGAUUGAAAGAUGCAAGCGCAUCACUAGUAGAUGGACCUGCGUUGUAUUAGCUAGUUGGUAAGGUAAGAGCUUACCAAGGCGACGAUACAUAGCCGACCUGAGAGGGUGAUCGGCCACACUGGGACUGAGACACGGCCCAGACUCCUACGGGAGGCAGCAGUAGGGAAUCUUCGGCAAUGGACGAAAGUCUGACCGAGCAACGCCGCGUGAGUGAAGAAGGUUUUCGGAUCGUAAAGCUCUGUUGUAAGUCAAGAACGUGUGUGAGAGUGGAAAGUUCACACAGUGACGGAGC
This 476-nucleotide ribosomal RNA is filed under the name Streptococcus mutans. Its description in RNAcentral is "bacterial SSU rRNA". It matches the Rfam family "Bacterial small subunit ribosomal RNA", at positions 28 to 479 of the family's 1533-position model. The record is from RNAcentral. Lineage: Bacteria; Bacillati; Bacillota; Bacilli; Lactobacillales; Streptococcaceae.